AUUGAACGCUGGCGGCAUGCUUUACACAUGCAAGUCGAACGGUAACAGGGAGCUUGCUCCGCUGACGAGUGGCGAACGGGUGAGUAAUAUAUCGGAACGUACCCAAGAGUGGGGGAUAACGUAGCGAAAGUUACGCUAAUACCGCAUACGAUCUAUGGAUGAAAGCAGGGGACCUUCGGGCCUUGUGCUCCUGGAGCGGCCGAUAUCUGAUUAGCUAGUUGGUGAGGUAAAGGCUCACCAAGGCGACGAUCAGUAGCUGGUCUGAGAGGACGACCGGCCACACUGGAACUGAGACACGGUCCGGACUCCUGCGGGGGGCAGCAGUGGGGAAUGUUGGACAAUGGGCGCAAGCCUGUUCCAGCAAGGCCGCGUGAGUGAAGAAGGCCUUCGGGUUGUAAAGCUCUUUUGUCAGGGAAGAAACGGCUGUGGCUAAUAUCCACGGCUAAUGACGGUACCUGAAGAAUAAGCACCGGCUAACUACGUGCCAGCAGCCGCCGUAA
RNAcentral lists this ribosomal RNA (500 nucleotides) under uncultured bacterium. Its description in RNAcentral is "partial 16S ribosomal RNA". It matches the Rfam family "Bacterial small subunit ribosomal RNA", at positions 30 to 523 of the family's 1533-position model. The record is from RNAcentral.